RNAcentral lists this small RNA (27 nucleotides) under Bombyx mori (domestic silkworm). RNAcentral describes it as "piRNA piR-bmo-2129284". Lineage: Eukaryota; Metazoa; Arthropoda; Insecta; Lepidoptera; Bombycidae. The record is from RNAcentral.
UGAUAGUCGCCGUCCGUAGAUUCGUUA